RNAcentral lists this ribosomal RNA (448 nucleotides) under uncultured bacterium. Its description in RNAcentral is "bacterial SSU rRNA". It matches the Rfam family "Bacterial small subunit ribosomal RNA", at positions 29 to 523 of the family's 1533-position model. The record is from RNAcentral.
AACGAACGCUGGCGGCGCGUUUUAAGCAUGCAAGUCGAGCGGUAAGGUCCUUCGGGACCCCAGAGCGGCGGACGGGUGAGUAACACGUGGAUAAUCUGCCUCCCAGUCCGGGAUAGCACAUGGAAACAUGUGAUAAUACCGGAUACGAUGUGCCUGCCACAUGGCGGGUGCAGGAAAGGUCCUGCGGGAUCGCUGGGAGAUGAGUCCGCGGCCCAUUAGCUGGCCACAUUGGGACUGAGACACGGCCCAGACUCCUACGGGAGGCAGCAGCUAAGAAUCUUCCACAAUGGACGAAAGUCUGAUGGAGCGACGCCGCGUGAACGAUGAAGGCCGUAAGGUUGUAAAGUUCUUUUUUGGAAGGAAGAAUAAGGCGGGCAGGGAAUGGGCCUGCCGAUGACGUGAAUUCCAGAAUAAGCCCCGGCUAACUACGUGCCAGCCGCCGCAGUAA